RNAcentral lists this ribosomal RNA (494 nucleotides) under uncultured bacterium. RNAcentral's name for it is "partial 16S ribosomal RNA". It matches the Rfam family "Bacterial small subunit ribosomal RNA", at positions 356 to 868 of the family's 1533-position model. The record is from RNAcentral.
GGGGAAUAUUGGACAAUGGGGGCAACCCUGAUCCAGCAAUGCCGCGUGUGUGAAGAAGGUCUUCGGAUUGUAAAGCACUUUCGACGGGGACGAUGAUGACGGUACCCGUAGAAGAAGCCCCGGCUAACUUCGUGCCAGCAGCCGCGGUAAUACGAAGGGGGCUAGCGUUGCUCGGAAUGACUGGGCGUAAAGGGCGUGUAGGCGGUUUACACAGUCAGAUGUGAAAUCCCCGGGCUUAACCUGGGAGCUGCAUUUGAUACGUGUAGACUAGAGUGUGAGAGAGGGUUGUGGAAUUCCCAGUGUAGAGGUGAAAUUCGUAGAUAUUGGGAAGAACACCGGUGGCGAAGGCGGCAACCUGGCUCAUGACUGACGCUGAGGCGCGAAAGCGUGGGGAGCAAACAGGUUAGAUACCCUGGUAGUCCACGCUGUAAACGAUGUGUGCUAGAUGUUGGGUAACUUUGUUAUUCAGUGUCGCAGUUAACGCGUUAAGCACA